GCCGCAGCAUCGGCAUCGCAGACGCGCUCGGGCGGCGGGUCCGAGGCCGGCGUGCGCGGAGGCUGGGCGGGCAGCCCGAGCGGUGGCCGCAGCGCAGGACACUUGAAAUAUACAGAAAAGAACAAAAGAAAUUAAGAAUCGCUAGUGAUCUGAUCACCAAGAGGGAAACACGUUCAGCACGCCCCAGCCUCCCUGGUUUGCUACACCGCGCUCCUAAAAGGCUCCUCCCCAAGUUCCCAGCUGCCAGCUCCCUGCUGAGCAUCAGGAGGACAAUCAGCGCUUCAAGGUGGCGGGGUCCCCUGCCCUGCAGCCAGUGAAGAGCUUCCCUACCCAGGCGCUCAGGAUCCCAGCGAUGGGCAGUCGUGUACUGGGCAGCUGCUCAUGGCCAGUGCUCCUUUGGGCCGGGCUCUGGGCUGCCCAUGGAAGAGCCAGUGACAAACUGGACCAGCAUUGUCCCUGUCUUCGUGGGGUGUCACUUGUUUUCUUUUUUCUUGAUGAUUAUCUGAAGGGAAAAGGGAGGCAAAGAGUGAGGAAGGGCCUGGCCUGAGGGCUCCUACAGUGAGCAGGGUGCCCAGAUUGUGCCCCCAAUCGGCCUCUCCCAGGUCCGAGCCCUUUCCACCACUGGAACUACAGCUGGCGCCUUCCUUGGCAUGCACCUGGCCAGGACUGGCAGGUGAGGGUCGAGGAGACAGGCCUGUGUGCCCUACCUUGAUCACCAAGUUCCCUUUCAAAGCUCGAAA
RNAcentral lists this long non-coding RNA (740 nucleotides) under Homo sapiens (human). Its description in RNAcentral is "non-protein coding lnc-L1CAM-1:3". The record is from RNAcentral. Lineage: Eukaryota; Metazoa; Chordata; Mammalia; Primates; Hominidae.